AGAUUAAGUUAUUAAGGGCGCACGGUGGAUGCCUUGGCGCUAGGAGCCGAUGAAGGACGUGGUAAGCUGCGAUAAGCCUUGAUGAGUUGCACGCAAACUUUGAUUCAAGGAUUUCCGAAUGGGAUUACCCAAUAGAGUUAAUACUCUAUUAUCUUAAAGUCAAUUCAUAGCUUUAAGAGGGGAACUGAGUGAACUGAAACAUCUUAGUAACUCAAGGAGAAGAAAGCAAACGCGAUUCCCUAAGUAGCGGCGAGCGAAAGGGGAAUAGCCCAAACUAUAAUAGUGUCAAACUUAUGGGUGUUGCUAUUAUAGGGUUGUAGGACUAUCAGAUGUCGCCAUAACGACAUCAUAGUAUUGCUUUUAUUUAACUGAAGUAGCUGGAAAGUUACACCACAGAAGGUAAAAGUCCUGUAAGUGAAAAGUAAAAGUAAACUAGAUAGUAUCCUGAGUACCAUGAGUCACGUGGAACCUCGUGGGAAGUUAGGAGGACCAUCUCCUAAGGCUAAAUACUCCCUAGCGACCGAUAGUGAACUAGUACCGUGAGGGAAAGGUGAAAAGAACCCCGGAAGGGGAGUGAAAUAGAAUCUGAAACCGUGUGCCUACAAGCAGUCAGAGGACGUAUAUAAUCAGUCUGAUGGCGUGCUUUUUGCAUAACGAGCCUGCGAGUUAUGGUAAGUGGCGUUAGGUUAAGCUUUGAAGGUGUAGCCGUAGCGAAAGCGAGUCUUAACGGGGCGUUAAGUCGCUUGCCAUAGACCCGAAACCGAGUGAUCUAUCCAUGGCCAGGGUGAAGCACGUGUAAGAACGUGUGGAGGCCCGAACCACAUUAGCGUUGAAAAGCUAUGGGAUGAGCUGUGGAUAGGGGUGAAAGGCCAAUCGAACUCGGAGAUAGCUGGUUCUCCUCGAAAUAGCUUUAGGGCUAGCCUCAAGUAAUUGCAACUUGGCGGUAGAGCACUGAUUGGACUAGGGGCCUUCUUAGGUUACCGAAUCCAGUCAAACUCCGAACGCUGAGCUUGUUUAUCUUGGGAGUCAGACUAUGUGGGAUAAGCUUCAUAGUCGAAAGGGAAACAACCCAGAUCGUCAGCUAAGGUCCCUAAGUAUGAACUAAGUGGCAAAGGAUGUGAGAUUGCAUAGACAACCAGGAUGUUGGCUUAGAAGCAGCCAUUCAUUUAAAGAGUGCGUAAUAGCUCACUGGUCGAGUGGUCUUGCGCUGAAAAUGUCCGGGGCUUAAGUUCAUCACCGAAGCUACGGAUCGAAAGAUGGUAGAGGAGCUUUCUAUAUGGAUUGAAGCAGUACCGUAAGGAGCUGUGGACUGUAUAGAAGUGAUAAUGCAGGCAUGAGUAACGAUAAGAUAGGUGAGAAUCCUAUCCGCCGAAAGUCUAAGGUUUCCUGAGGAAGGCUCGUCCGCUCAGGGUAAGCCGGGACCUAAGCCGAGGCUGAAAGGCGUAGGCGAUGGAAAAUCGGUUAAAAUUCCGAUGCCACCUCUUUACCGCUAUGAGCAAUGGGGUGACGCAGGAGGAUAUGCUAGCUUGGCAACGGUUUGCCAAGUCGAAGCACUUAGGAGGAUAAUCCAGGUAAAUCCGGACUAUCAUUAACUCUAAGGUGUGACCGGGAGCUUCUAAGGAAGCGAAGUAGUUGAUUCCACACUGCCAAGAAAAGCCUCUAGCCAGGUAAAUGGUGCCCGUACCGCAAACUGACACAGGUAGACGAGAUGAGAAUUCUAAGGCGCGCGAGAGAACCUUCGUUAAGGAACUCGGCAAAAUUGCCCCGUAACUUCGGGAGAAGGGGCGCCUCAUUAGAGUGCAAGCUCGAAGAGGCCGCAGUGACUGGGCCCAAGCGACUGUUUACCAAAAACACAGGUCUCUGCUAAGACGUAAGUCGAUGUAUAGGGGCUGACGCCUGCCCGGUGCUGGAAGGUCAAGGGGAUGUGUUAGAGUUUAGCUCGAAGCAUUGAACUUAAGCCCCAGUAAACGGCGGCCGUAACUAUAACGGUCCUAAGGUAGCGAAAUUCCUUGUCGGGUAAGUUCCGACCUGCACGAAUGGCGCAACGACUUGGGCACUGUCUCAACGAAGGACUCGGUGAAAUUGUAGUACCUGUGAAGAUGCAGGUUACCCGCGACAGGACGGAAAGACCCCGUGGAGCUUUACUGCAGUCUGAUAUUGAAUUUUGGUACAAUAUGUACAGCAUAAGUGGGAGGCUUUGAAGUCGGCACGCUAGUGUCGGUGGAGCCACAGGUGGGAUACCACUCUUAUUUUGCUGGAAUUCUAACCAUGCACUGUUAUCCAGUGCUGGGACAUUGUCAGAUGGGCAGUUUGACUGGGGCGGUCGACUCCUAAAGAGUAACGGAGUCGCCCAAAGGUUCCCUCAGUGCGGUCGGAAAUCGCACGAAGAGUGUAAAGGCAGAAGGGAGCUUGACUGCGAGACAUACAGGUCGAGCAGGGACGAAAGUCGGGCUUAGUGAUCCGACGGUAGAGUAUGGAAUUGCCGUCGCUCAACGGAUAAAAGUUACCCCGGGGAUAACAGGCUUAUCUCCCCCAAGAGUUCACAUCGACGGGGAGGUUUGGCACCUCGAUGUCGGCUCGUCGCAUCCUGGAGCUGAAGCAGGUUCCAAGGGUUGGGCUGUUCGCCCAUUAAAGCGGUACGCGAGCUGGGUUCAGAACGUCGUGAGACAGUUCGGUCCCUAUCCGUCGUGGGCGUAGGAUAUUUGAAGGGAUCUGUCCCUAGUACGAGAGGACCGGGAUGGACGUACCUCUGGUGUACCAGUUGUCAUCCAAUGGCAUUGCUGGGUAGCUAUGUACGGACCAGAUAAACGCUGAAAGCAUCUAAGCGUGAAACUGACCUUAAGAUGAGAUAUCCCAUAGAGUUAAUCUAGUAAGACCCCUGAUAGACUAUCAGGUCGAUAGGUCGGAGGUGUAAGAGUGGUAACAUUCUCAGCUGACCGAUACUAAUAGGUCGAGGACUUAAUCUA
This 2966-nucleotide ribosomal RNA is filed under the name Orenia metallireducens. Its description in RNAcentral is "bacterial LSU rRNA". It matches the Rfam family "Bacterial large subunit ribosomal RNA". The record is from RNAcentral. Lineage: Bacteria; Bacillati; Bacillota; Clostridia; Halanaerobiales; Halobacteroidaceae.